Molecule: ribosomal RNA, 550 nt
Filed under: uncultured bacterium
Lineage: Bacteria
Description: bacterial SSU rRNA
Rfam family: Bacterial small subunit ribosomal RNA
Source: RNAcentral
UAGGGAAUCUUCGGCAAUGGACGGAAGUCUGACCGAGCAACGCCGCGUGAGUGAAGAGGGUUUUCGGAUCGUAAAGCUCUGUUGUAAGAGAAGAACGAGUGUGAGAGUGGAAAGUUCACACUGUGACGGUAUCUUAUCAGAAAGGGACGGCUAACUACGUGCCAGCAGCCGCGGUAAUACGUAAGUCCCGAGCGUUGUCCGGAUUUAUUGGGCGUAAAGCGAGCGCAGGCGGUUAGAUAAGUCUGAAGUUAAAGGCUGUGGCUUAACCAUAGUACGCUUUGGAAACUGUUUAACUUGAGUGCAAGAGGGGAGAGUGGAAUUCCAUGUGUAGCGGUGAAAUGCGUAGAUAUAUGGAGGAACACCGGUGGCGAAAGCGGCUCUCUGGCUUGUAACUGACGCUGAGGCUCGAAAGCGUGGGGAGCAAACAGGAUUAGAUACCCUGGUAGUCCACGCCGUAAACGAUGAGUGCUAGGUGUUAGACCCUUUCCGGGGUUUAGUGCCGUAGCUAACGCAUUAAGCACUCCGCCUGGGGAGUACGACCGCAAGGUUG